This 774-nucleotide ribosomal RNA is filed under the name uncultured Neocallimastigales. RNAcentral's name for it is "partial large subunit ribosomal RNA". It matches the Rfam family "Eukaryotic large subunit ribosomal RNA", at positions 18 to 643 of the family's 3401-position model. The record is from RNAcentral. Lineage: Eukaryota; Fungi; Neocallimastigomycota; Neocallimastigomycetes; Neocallimastigales.
UCAGACGAUGCGUCAUGCAUAUCAAUAAGCGGAGGAAAAGAAACUAACAAGGAUUCCCCUAGUAACGGCGAGUGAAGCGGGAAGAGCUCAAAUUUGAAAUCUUAAAGGGUUUCCCUUUACGAAUUGUAGUUUAAAGAAGUGUUUUCUGUUGAGGUUUUGGUAAAAGUUCUUUGGAAUAGGACAUCAUAGAGGGUGAGAAUCCCGUAUUUGACCUUUACUUUCAACUUUGUGAUACACUUUCAAAGAGUCGGAUUGUUUGGGAAUGCAGUCCAAAAUGGGUGGUAAAUUUCAUCUAAAGCUAAAUAUUGGCGAGAGACCGAUAGCGAACAAGUACCGUGAGGGAAAGAUGAAAAGAACUUUGAAAAGAGAGUUAAACAGUACGUGAAAUUGUCAAAAGGGAAGCGUUUGACACCAGUGUUGUUUUUCUGAAAAUCAAUUAAAGAACUGUUUAUGCUAAGCUGUUUAGACUUUAUCAGCUAUCUGUUUAGUUUUGAGCUUUUCUUUAAUGCACUUUUCAGUCAACAAGUCAACAUCAAUUUCUUUUGCUGUAAAAAAGCUUGAGGAAGGUGGCUUGAGAUUCGUCUUAAGUGUUUAUAGCCUCUUGCCUAUGCAGUCGGAGAGAUUGAGGUCUGCAGCGUAGAUCCUUCGGGGCUAAAUGCAUUUGUGCUAAGUUAUAGCAUUUUAUAGACAACUUGUUGACUAUGAUUUGUCUUGUAGCUUACUCGCUUAUGUUAUUUUACCUACGCUUAGGAUGUUGACACACGCGCGUGCUCG